Molecule: ribosomal RNA, 465 nt
Filed under: Vreelandella stevensii
Lineage: Bacteria; Pseudomonadati; Pseudomonadota; Gammaproteobacteria; Oceanospirillales; Halomonadaceae
Description: partial 16S ribosomal RNA
Rfam family: Bacterial small subunit ribosomal RNA
Source: RNAcentral
CCUACGGGAGGCAGCAGUGGGGAAUAUUGGACAAUGGGCGAAAGCCUGAUCCAGCCAUGCCGCGUGUGUGAAGAAGGCCUUCGGGUUGUAAAGCACUUUCAGUGGGGAAGAAAGCCUUGGGGCUAAUACCCUCGAGGAAGGACAUCACCCACAGAAGAAGCACCGGCUAACUCCGUGCCAGCAGCCGCGGUAAUACGGAGGGUGCGAGCGUUAAUCGGAAUUACUGGGCGUAAAGCGCGCGUAGGCGGUCUGAUAAGCCGGUUGUGAAAGCCCCGGGCUCAACCUGGGAACGGCAUCCGGAACUGUCAGGCUAGAGUGCAGGAGAGGAAGGUAGAAUUCCCGGUGUAGCGGUGAAAUGCGUAGAGACCGGGAGGAAUACCAGUGGCGAAGGCGGCCUUCUGGACUGACACUGACGCUGAGGUGCGAAAGCGUGGGUAGCAAACAGGAUUAGAUACCCGAGUAGUC